GACAAAUCUCUUGUCAGCUGCUUUUAUCUGUAAGUAUUUUUUUCUUUUUAUUAUACUUCUAACUUCUUUAAUUAUAUGUAUAUAAUCCUUACACACUUAGGAUUUGUAUGUAUAUAUGCAGGCACCAAAUGAGAGAGCUCAGAAUGAGAAAUGACAAUAGUAUUGGGUUCGUUGACCCUUAUAUUGUUUUCAAGGCUCCGCAGGCAGUGUGGACAACAGCUCAUG
This 225-nucleotide long non-coding RNA is filed under the name Sorghum bicolor (sorghum). RNAcentral's name for it is "long non-coding RNA (SBIC_LNC012968)". The record is from RNAcentral. Lineage: Eukaryota; Viridiplantae; Streptophyta; Magnoliopsida; Poales; Poaceae.